RNAcentral lists this ribosomal RNA (895 nucleotides) under Meloidogyne enterolobii. Its description in RNAcentral is "SSU rRNA". It matches the Rfam family "Eukaryotic small subunit ribosomal RNA", at positions 101 to 1009 of the family's 1831-position model. The record is from RNAcentral. Lineage: Eukaryota; Metazoa; Nematoda; Chromadorea; Rhabditida; Meloidogynidae.
AUACAACAGCCAUGAUUUACUUGAUCUUGAUUAUCUAAAUGGAUAACUGUGGAAAAGCUAGAGCUAAUACAUGCACCAAAGCUUUGUCCUCUCGGAAAAGCGCAUUUAUUAGAACAAAACCACGCGGCUUCGGCUGCUUCUUGUUGACUCAGAAUAACUAAGCUGACCGCAUGGCCUUGUGCCGGCGGCGUGUCUUUCAAGCGUCCACUUUAUCAACUUGACGGGAGCAUAAUCGACUCCCGUGGUGGUGACGGAUAACGGAGGAUCAGGGUUCGACUCCGGAGAAGGGGCCUGAGAAAUGGCCACUACGUCUAAGGAUGGCAGCAGGCGCGCAAAUUACCCACUCUCGGCUCGAGGAGGUAGUGACGAGAAAUAACGAGACUGUUCUCUUUGAGGCCGGUCAUCGGAAUGGGUACAAUUUAAACCCUUUAACGAGUAUCAAGCAGAGGGCAAGUCUGGUGCCAGCAGCCGCGGUAAUUCCAGCUCUGCUAAUACAUAGAAUUAUUGCUGCGGUUAAAAAGCUCGUAGUUGGAUUCGUAUCGGUACCCUGGAACCCUUCGGGUGUUUCUGGGUGUUAUCGAUUUAUCGUAAUGUUCGGUUUUGAGUCCUUAACAGGAUUUUUAACAGUCAUUGCAAGUUUACUUUGAACAAAUCAGAGUGCUUCAAACAGGCGUUUUCGCUUGAAUGAUCGUGCAUGGAAUAAUAGAAAACGAUUUCGGUUCAGUUUUAUUGGUUUUACGGACUGAGAUAAUGGUUAACAGAGACAAACGGGGGCAUUUGUAUGGCCCCGUGAGAGGUGAAAUUCUUGGACCGUGGCCGGACAAACUACAGCGAAAGCAUUUGCCAAGAAUGUCUUCAUUAAUCAAGAACGAAAGUCAGAGGUUCGAGGGCGAUC